GCUCUGUGUGCCCCCCCCAUCUGCGCUGUGCCCUUGCCUCGCGGCUGCUCCUGCACUUGACUCUCCCUCUCCUGUUGGUCGGUUUUCCCAUUGGCCGUGCGGCUCCCUGGUGUGCGGAUGGCUCUUGAGUCUUCUUCUCGUGAACCAAACCCCUUCCUUGCCCCAUGUCCUCCUCCAGCUAUGACUCCCUUUCUCUGCCCCUUCUUCCUUCUGUCUCUCUUCCUGUUUUACCUCGGUCAGGUUUUUGCCCCCCAACAUUCCACCCAAAUGCUCUUCUUGAGGACAGGAUGAUGCUCCUGAAAGUGGUCAGUCCGCAGCGAACCCCACUGCCUUGAGACACUCCCUUCACUUGUGUCCUGUGACACCAUCCUCUGGGCCCUCCCCACCCCUCGCUGCACGUCCUCACAUGCCUGCGCUGUCUUCUCUAGUCUUGGGGGCUUUUUGUUCUUUUAUGUCACCAGCCAGCCCUCCAGAGGUCGUGUGGCUUCACAGACGGUCUCCAUGCUCCUGUCCCCACACGGCUGCCCUCCCCAGGCCUCUCCCUGAGGCCAUCUCGGGUAGUCACCUCCCGGAGCUCUCUUCGCAUGUCUGGGAGGCAGUUCAAAGAUACGAUUCCAGCCGCAAAAUGAAAUGCUGCAUCUUGGCCUUGGAGCCCCAGACAAGCCCCAGACCUGCCUUACUAAGCCAGCCUUCCGAAGUCAGUUGACAGUGAUGUCCCCCUGGCACUUGUUCAGUGACAGCCCAGAACUUGGAGGUUUUCUCCAUUUCCGUUUCUCACGUUUAUCCUUGAGUCCACGAUGGCUGCUGGGGCUGCGGCCUUCGCAAUCGGGAGGAGGGCAAGGGGGAACAGUGCCGCCCUGCGUGGCCAGCUCCCUGCAUGGGCCCUUGGCAGAGUGUUUGCCUUCAGCUCAUUACCCAGAGCGUGGGGCUGGCCAUUUCUAGCUUAGAAGGAGCCUGAAAAAUACAUACGUGUGUGUGCGUGUGCGUGUGUGUGUGCGUGUGUGCAUGUGUGUGCGCGUGUGUGUAUGUGUGUGUAUGUGUGCGUGUGUGCGUAUAUGUGUGUGUGCAUGUGCGUGUGUGUGUAUGUGUGUGUGGUGUGUAUGGAGAGAGAGUGUGCACCUGUGUGUGGGCUCAUUGCUGCCCUAAAUAAAAUUGGGAUGUGGUUCCUUUUGCCCUUUGUCCUUUGCCUGCCUGGUUUCCUUUGCAGCACUCGUCACAGUCUGACGUGGUCGCCUGCGUCUCUUUGUGCUUUGGUUGGGCGUCUCCUUUAGAGCGUCUGCUCUGUGAGGGUAGGGGCCAGCCUUUGUCGUCGUUCACUUCACACGCAUGAGUGCCUGGCACAGGAGUCACAGUCAAUGGCUGUUGGCCCAACCAAUUUCUACCCCGUCUGUCUGGGAAAUUCCUAAACUUUGCCUCUCACUUUCUGUCCACUUGCUGCAUUCCGGAGUACGCCUUGGUCUCACAGCCUGUGCCCUCAUCUGGGUGUGUUCAGCCUCUUGCAUUUCCUUUCUGCCUCCCCUCCACCCCUUGCAAUGUAGCCCCUGCCCCUGCCCUUCUCUCCUUCCCAUUGUUCUAGAACAUUCCAGCAUGGAAACCCCGCUGUGAAAGGCCCCUGCACUGGCCACAGAAGCGGCACCUAACUGCUGAGGAACCUGGUUGCUGGCCUGGAGUGGGUGCGGAGUACUGCCUGGCAGCAUGGCCAUGCUUCUGGAGGCAUUUUAGCACCCUGUACACCAGCAAAUUCUGUCAGAGAAGCACGGCAAAAGCUGGAGAAGGUUUGAGGAAGCACAUCCUGAAGCUGAUGGCACAGUGUGGGGGCAGCGGGCAAGCAGGUGCAGACGUUUCACGCAUGUCUCCACUCACGCUACUUGCUACGUUCUGUUUCAGUGAUGAAAUCAGGGAGGAUUACUUCUGAAGAUGGAGAGAACAGGGCGCUCUCAGCAUGCACAUACCUGGGAAGGACCACGUGAGGACAUCACCAGGAAGAAGGUCGUCACCAGGAACCCCACCGUGCUGGCACCUUGAGGUCAGACAUGCAGCCCUCACAACUGUGAGAAAUCAGUGUUUGCUGUUUCAGUCGCCCAGUCUGUGGUAUUUGUUACAGCAGCCCAAGCUGACUAAGACAGCUGCUCAGAACAGGGAGAAAAUCUUUGCCAGUCAUACAUCUGUUAAGGGUUUAGUAUGGAGAAUAGGUUAGGAACUCUUCUAGUUCAUUAAUACAAAGGCAAAA
This is a long non-coding RNA of Piliocolobus tephrosceles (Ugandan red Colobus), 2230 nucleotides long. RefSeq lists it as uncharacterized. Lineage: Eukaryota; Metazoa; Chordata; Mammalia; Primates; Cercopithecidae. The transcript is spliced from 3 exons. The record is from RefSeq and is a predicted model, not a curated record.